RNAcentral lists this ribosomal RNA (503 nucleotides) under Ralstonia sp. Iso-38. RNAcentral's name for it is "bacterial SSU rRNA". It matches the Rfam family "Bacterial small subunit ribosomal RNA", at positions 57 to 557 of the family's 1533-position model. The record is from RNAcentral. Lineage: Bacteria; Pseudomonadati; Pseudomonadota; Betaproteobacteria; Burkholderiales; Burkholderiaceae.
GCAGUCGAACGGCAGCGCGGACUUCGGUCUGGCGGCGAGUGGCGAACGGGUGAGUAAUACAUCGGACGUGCCCUGUUGUGGGGGAUAACUAGUCGAAAGAUUAGCUAAUACCGCAUACGACCUGAGGGUGAAAGCGGGGGACCGUAAGGCCUCGCGCAAUAGGAGCGGCCGAUGUCUGAUUAGCUAGUUGGUGGGGUAAAGGCCCACCAAGGCGACGAUCAGUAGCUGGUCUGAGAGGACGAUCAGCCACACUGGGACUGAGACACGGCCCAGACUCCUACGGGAGGCAGCAGUGGGGAAUUUUGGACAAUGGGGGCAACCCUGAUCCAGCAAUGCCGCGUGUGUGAAGAAGGCCUUCGGGUUGUAAAGCACUUUUGUCCGGAAAGAAAUCGCUCUGGCUAAUACCUGGGGUGGAUGACGGUACCGGAAGAAUAAGCACCGGCUAACUACGUGCCAGCAGCCGCGGUAAUACGUAGGGUGCGAGCGUUAAUCGGAAUUACUGG